Molecule: ribosomal RNA, 454 nt
Filed under: Mugil curema (white mullet)
Lineage: Eukaryota; Metazoa; Chordata; Actinopteri; Mugiliformes; Mugilidae
Description: partial 16S ribosomal RNA
Rfam family: Bacterial large subunit ribosomal RNA
Source: RNAcentral
GCCUGCCCUGUGACCCCAAGUUUAACGGCCGCGGUAUCCUGACCGUGCAAAGGUAGCGCAAUCACUUGUCCCUUAAAUGAGGACCUGUAUGAAUGGCAUAACGAGGGCUUAACUGUCUCCUUUCCCCAGCCAAUGAAAUUGAUCUUCCCGUGCAGAAGCGGGAAUACUAACAUAAGACGAGAAGACCCUAUGGAGCUUUAGACACUAGGACAGACCAUGUCAGCUACCCCCACAAAGAAGUAGUAAUAAUUGAACCCCUGUCCUCCGUCUUCGGUUGGGGCGACCACGGGGAAUAAAAAAACCCCCACGUGGAUCGGGAGUACACCACUCCUAUAACCACGAGCCACCGCUCUAAAUAACAGAAUUUCUGACCAAAAAGAUCCGGCAACGCCGAUCAACGGACCCAGUUACCCUAGGGAUAACAGCGCAAUCCUCUUCAAGAGUCCAUAUCGAC